Molecule: ribosomal RNA, 681 nt
Filed under: Ganoderma applanatum
Lineage: Eukaryota; Fungi; Basidiomycota; Agaricomycetes; Polyporales; Polyporaceae
Description: SSU rRNA
Rfam family: Bacterial small subunit ribosomal RNA
Source: RNAcentral
UUUUUCAGUAGUUUAAGACAUGCAAAUCGUUGUUCCCAACGUCCUUUUUAUAAUUAAUAUUAUAAUGUUAAUGGGAUUAGGGGAUAAGGUGUAGAGGUGAGUAUGUUAAAUAAGAUACCCUAUAGUCUUCUUAGCUAGGAGAUAUAAAGUAAAGGAAAAUUUCUGCUAUAGGAUUCUAUUUAAUUUGAUUAGGUAGUUGAUAGGGUAACGGCCUACCAAGCCAACAAUCAAAAGUCAAGUUUGAAAGAACCUCUGGCCACAUUGGGGAUGAAAUCUCCCAAGUAGUAAUAACACUACCAGCAGUCGAGAAUAUUAGUCAAUGCUCGUAAGAGUGAACUAGCUAACUGAAAUCAUAGAAUUUUUUUAAGUUCGUGAUGUCGUAAGGGAAAAUAAUGAUAAUACCUUACUAUGAGUGUCGUCCAAAUCUGGUGCCAGAAGACUCGGUAAGACCAGAGACGCAAACGUUAAUCAUCAUAAACAGGCGUAAAGGGUUUGUAGGCAGCUUUUAUAAUAUUAAAAAAAAAUUAAUUUAAUUGAAAGCUAGAAUCAAAAAGAGGUUAUAGUGUAUAACGCCUAGAGGAGGGCUGAUAUCCAUAGAUCCUAGGCAGAAUACUCAGGGCGAAGGCCACUCUCCACUAAUGAUUGACGCUGAGAAACGAAGGUUAGGGUAGGAAAUAGGAU